Molecule: ribosomal RNA, 490 nt
Filed under: uncultured bacterium
Lineage: Bacteria
Description: bacterial SSU rRNA
Rfam family: Bacterial small subunit ribosomal RNA
Source: RNAcentral
AUUGAACGCUGGCGGCAUGCCUUACACAUGCAAGUCGAACGGUAACAGGUCUUCGGAUGCUGACGAGUGGCGAACGGGUGAGUAAUACAUCGGAACGUGCCCGAUCGUGGGGGAUAACGCAGCGAAAGCUGUGCUAAUACCGCAUACGAUCCACGGAUGAAAGCGGGGGACUCGCAAGGGCCUCGCGCGGACGGAGCGGCCGAUGGCAGAUUAGGUAGUUGGUGGGAUAAAAGCUUACCAAGCCGACGAUCUGUAGCUGGUCUGAGAGGACGACCAGCCACACUGGGACUGAGACACGGCCCAGACUCCUACGGGAGGCAGCAGUGGGGAAUUUUGGACAAUGGGCGCAAGCCUGAUCCAGCCAUGCCGCGUGCAGGAUGAAGGCCUUCGGGUUGUAAACUGCUUUUGUACGGAACGAAAAGACUCUCUCUAAUACAGGGGGUGAAGUGACGGUACCGUAAGAAUAAGCACCGGCUAACUACGUGCCAGC